GUGCAUGUAGCUGAAUGGUAGAGCACAGGAUUAGCAUGUAUAAGGCCCUGGGUUCAAUUCCCAGCACACACA
Molecule: transfer RNA, 72 nt
Filed under: Heterocephalus glaber (naked mole-rat)
Lineage: Eukaryota; Metazoa; Chordata; Mammalia; Rodentia; Bathyergidae
Rfam family: tRNA
About the family: Transfer RNA (tRNA) molecules are approximately 80 nucleotides in length. Their secondary structure includes four short double-helical elements and three loops (D, anti-codon, and T loops).
Source: Rfam by way of RNAcentral